Molecule: transfer RNA, 75 nt
Filed under: Rattus norvegicus (Norway rat)
Lineage: Eukaryota; Metazoa; Chordata; Mammalia; Rodentia; Muridae
Source: RNAcentral
GGGGUUGGGGAUUUAGCUCAGUGGUAGAGCGCUUGCCUAGCAAGCGCAAGGCCCUGGGUUCGGUCCUCAGCUCCG